Molecule: ribosomal RNA, 1361 nt
Filed under: uncultured bacterium
Lineage: Bacteria
Description: bacterial SSU rRNA
Rfam family: Bacterial small subunit ribosomal RNA
Source: RNAcentral
AUUGAACGCUGGCAGCAGGCCUAACACAUGCAAGUCGAGCGGUAGCACAGAGAGCUUGCUCUCGGGUGACGAGCGGCGGACGGGUGAGUAAUGUCUGGGAAACUGCCUGAUGGAGGGGGAUAACUACUGGAAACGGUAGCUAAUACCGCAUAACGUCGCAAGACCAAAGUGGGGGACCUUCGGGCCUCAUGCCAUCAGAUGUGCCCAGAUGGGAUUAGCUAGUAGGUGGGGUAACGGCUCACCUAGGCGACGAUCCCUAGCUGGUCUGAGAGGAUGACCAGCCACACUGGAACUGAGACACGGUCCAGACUCCUACGGGAGGCAGCAGUGGGGAAUAUUGCACAAUGGGCGCAAGCCUGAUGCAGCCAUGCCGCGUGUGUGAAGAAGGCCUUCGGGUUGUAAAGCACUUUCAGCGGGGAGGAAGGCGGUGAGGUUAAUAACCUCAUCGAUUGACGUUACCCGCAGAAGAAGCACCGGCUAACUCCGUGCCAGCAGCCGCGGUAAUACGGAGGGUGCAAGCGUUAAUCGGAAUUACUGGGCGUAAAGCGCACGCAGGCGGUCUGUCAAGUCGGAUGUGAAAUCCCCGGGCUCAACCUGGGAACUGCAUUCGAAACUGGCAGGCUAGAGUCUUGUAGAGGGGGGUAGAAUUCCAGGUGUAGCGGUGAAAUGCGUAGAGAUCUGGAGGAAUACCGGUGGCGAAGGCGGCCCCCUGGACAAAGACUGACGCUCAGGUGCGAAAGCGUGGGGAGCAAACAGGAUUAGAUACCCUGGUAGUCCACGCCGUAAACGAUGUCGAUUUGGAGGUUGUGCCCUUGAGGCGUGGCUUCCGGAGCUAACGCGUUAAAUCGACCGCCUGGGGAGUACGGCCGCAAGGUUAAAACUCAAAUGAAUUGACGGGGGCCCGCACAAGCGGUGGAGCAUGUGGUUUAAUUCGAUGCAACGCGAAGAACCUUACCUGGUCUUGACAUCCACAGAACUUUCCAGAGAUGGAUUGGUGCCUUCGGGAACUGUGAGACAGGUGCUGCAUGGCUGUCGUCAGCUCGUGUUGUGAAAUGUUGGGUUAAGUCCCGCAACGAGCGCAACCCUUAUCCUUUGUUGCCAGCGGUCCGGCCGGGAACUCAAAGGAGACUGCCAGUGAUAAACUGGAGGAAGGUGGGGAUGACGUCAAGUCAUCAUGGCCCUUACGACCAGGGCUACACACGUGCUACAAUGGCAUAUACAAAGAGAAGCGACCUCGCGAGAGCAAGCGGACCUCAUAAAGUAUGUCGUAGUCCGGAUUGGAGUCUGCAACUCGACUCCAUGAAGUCGGAAUCGCUAGUAAUCGUAGAUCAGAAUGCUACGGUGAAUACGUUCCCGGGCCU